UAACAAUACGGGACUCAUCCGAGGCCCCGUAAUUGGAAUGAGUACACUUCAAAUCCUUUAAUAAGGAUCCAUUGGAGGGCAAGUCUGGUGCCAGCAGCCGCGGUAAUUCCAGCUCCAAUAGCGUAUAUUAAAGUUGCUGCAGUUAAAAAGCUCGUAGUUGGAUCUCAGUUAUGGGCAGGUGGUUCACUUUACGGUGUUACUACCUGAACCAAACCUAUUGCUGGUACUCUUGGUUGCCCUUCACUGGGUGGCCCUUGAGACCAGAGCGUUUACUUUGAGAAAAUUAGAGUGCUCAAAGCUGGCGAAUGCCUGAAUAGUUGUGCAUGGAAUAAUGAAAGAAGGCCUCGGUGCCAUUUUGUUGGUUCUCGGUGCUUGAGGUAAUGGUUGAAAGGGACAGACGGGGGCAUUAGUAUUGCGACGUUAGAGGUGAAAUUCUUAGAUCGUCGCAAGACUGACUACUGCGAAAGCAUUUGCCAAGAAUGUCUUCAUUAAUCAAGAACGAAAGUUAGAGGUUCGAAGGCGAUCAGAUACCGCCCUAGUUCUAACCUUAAACGAUGCUAACUGGCGAUCCGGUGGGGGUACUUCAAUGACCUGCCGGGCAGCUUCUGGGAAACCAAAGUUUUUUGGUUCCGGGGGAAGUAUGGUUGCAAAGCUGGAACUUAAAGGAAUUGACGGAAGGGCACCACCAGGAGUGGAGCCUGUGGCUUAAUUUGACUCAACACGGGAAACCUCACCAGGCCCAGACACUAGAAGGAUUGACAGAUUGAGAGCUCUUUCUUGAUUUGGUGGAUGGUGGUGCAUGGCCGUUCUUAGUUGGUGGAGUGAUUUGUCUGGUUAAUUCCGAUAACGAACGAGACUCUGGCCUAUUAAAUAGGCAGCGGAUAACAAAAUAGUCCGCAUUGUCUUCUUAGAGGGACAAGGCAGCUCCAAGCUGCAUGAAAUGGGGCAAUAACAGGUCUGU
This 961-nucleotide ribosomal RNA is filed under the name Undulacandona koreana. Its description in RNAcentral is "SSU rRNA". It matches the Rfam family "Eukaryotic small subunit ribosomal RNA", at positions 477 to 1465 of the family's 1831-position model. Lineage: Eukaryota; Metazoa; Arthropoda; Ostracoda; Podocopida; Candonidae. The record is from RNAcentral.